CCCUGGUUAGCUCAGUUGGUAGAGCGCUCCACUUGUAAUGGAGAGGUCCCAGGUUCGAUACCUGGGCCAGGCG
RNAcentral lists this transfer RNA (73 nucleotides) under Ixodes scapularis (black-legged tick). It matches the Rfam family "tRNA". Rfam says of the family: Transfer RNA (tRNA) molecules are approximately 80 nucleotides in length. Their secondary structure includes four short double-helical elements and three loops (D, anti-codon, and T loops). The record is from Rfam by way of RNAcentral. Lineage: Eukaryota; Metazoa; Arthropoda; Arachnida; Ixodida; Ixodidae.